AGUGAACGCUGGCGGUAGGCCUAACACAUGCAAGUCGAACGGCAGCACAGUAAGAGCUUGCUCUUACGGGUGGCGAGUGGCGGACGGGUGAGGAAUACAUCGGAAUCUACUUUUUCGUGGGGGAUAACGUAGGGAAACUUACGCUAAUACCGCAUACGACCUACGGGUGAAAGCAGGGGAUCUUCGGACCUUGCGCGAUUGAAUGAGCCGAUGUCGGAUUAGCUAGUUGGCGGGGUAAAGGCCCACCAAGGCGACGAUCCGUAGCUGGUCUGAGAGGAUGAUCAGCCACACUGGAACUGAGACACGGUCCAGGCUCCUACGGGAGGCAGCAGUGGGGAAUAUUGGACAGUGGGCGCGAGCCUGAUCCAGCCAUACCGCGUGGGUGAAGGAGGCCUUCGGGUUGUAAAGCCCUUUUGUUGGGAAAGAAAAGCAGCAGGUUAAUACCCCGCUGUUCUGACGGUACCCGAAGAAUAAGCACCGGCUAACUUCGUG
Molecule: ribosomal RNA, 492 nt
Filed under: uncultured bacterium
Lineage: Bacteria
Description: partial 16S ribosomal RNA
Rfam family: Bacterial small subunit ribosomal RNA
Source: RNAcentral